AUGGGGGGUGCAGAAGGCAGAGAGGGACCUCAGGAGAAAAAGGAGGGCGUCGGAUCCGCAUAUAGCGGGAAGCCGAAGCCAAGCUGCGCCUUUCCUCCUUCCUCCCGGGGUUGGACCCUCCGCCGCAGCCAGGGCCGCUUCUCCUCCUCCUUCUCCUCCGCCUCCUCCUUUUCCUCCUCCUCGCCUUCUUCCUCGGCUCUUUUGUCUGCAGCGCUAGGGGCAUCUCCGCUCCCUCCCGCGCCGCCGGGCCUGGAGAAGCCGCAUCCCGGCUCCUUGGGCGGCCUCGGUUCCCCGCAAGCAGAUAUUCACAUUGUAAAUAAUGUCAACAGCAUUCACAUUUCCAAUGUGUAUUCUGAAUAUUGGGGAUGCCAGUGUUCAAGAAGUAUGUGUGCCCUCAAUAAAACAAAGCAUUGGAAGAAUUGGAACAAAAACAUGAGGGAGAAAGCAUUCACAGUAUAUCGGGGGCAGAGAAAAGGUGAGAGUGUGAAAAUAACACAACUCUGUCACUAGGGUUGAAACCUACUCAACUGUGUAUAAUCCCUGCUCACAUUACAUCAUCAUUUGUUAUUCAAAAGAAAACCUGAAGGCACCCAUCCAAUGGAAAUGUCUGUCUGUUCAUCUAUUAUCUACUUUUCCAUAGCAAAUGUAGAUCAGAUUGCAGCCUGGCUGUGCAUGACAAUUCACUUCUUGAAGAUCUGCAAACAAUGUGUGUAUGUGCAAUGCUUUAAUAUUUUGGUUAUGAUGAUACUCCUGUAGAGGACAUGGGUUAUAGCAAUGCUGGGGUAAAUGCAUUGCCCAUAAAUAAUUAUUCUCUCUCACACACACCCAAUUAAAUUUUCCUUCAGCCCCCCAAUUUCAGCAUUGCAGUCAUUUAAAACUUCAGAUGAGCAUUUAGAAAUGCAGCUUAGGUGUCCAAAGCAAAGAGAUAGCACCCAAGGGAAUGGGAAUGCAGCAAAUAGAAGAGUUUUAGGCAUGAACACUUUCCAGUGUAACAUUCUCUGCAGCUCUCAAAUUUUUGGGAAUGGAGUGAAAUUUUAUUGGGGGCAGUUCUUGUUUGAGAACAGUGCCGGGAAGAUAAGGGGAAAAAUUAUAGAAUUUGCAUAUUUAGAAGGUAAGGGGAACAAACCUGUAAUAGAAACAAUGGAAUGGUCUGGUCUGGGAUGAAGGGUCAGCACCAGGUGAGAGGAAACAAGGGAAGGCAGAUAGAGGCAAAUAUAACAAGUAUGUAAUAGAGUUAGAGGAUGAAAAUAUUACAGAGGUCAAGGCAUACAUAUUUCUGUAUUACAAUCUGUUAUGGGGAUGUGUUACAUACAAGAGAAUGUGGCAAUGUACUUGUUUGGGAGAAUGGCAUACCUGUAUUAUGUGUACUUGAUUAUCUCUAGUUUUCUUUUUACAUUUUGUAUGUCAUUAAAUCACUCAAUAAAAACUUUUUAAAAAAGGAAAAAAAUAAAAUAAAAAGUAACUACAAAAAAGAGAAAAGUGCCCUCAUUUUACCAUCCUGCUCCAUAAUUACAUCCCAGAGAAGCCCCACAAUCUCCAAAAGCAAACAUGGUUUCCGACACCACAUGUAUUUUCAGGAAGACAGUGGGUGAUAUCUGUACUUGGGUUCUCUUUUGCCUGAAUUGCUCCUCCUUCCUUUUUGAUCUGCUGUUGUUUGAACUUUUGAAGGUACUGUUGUUUUUGUUGCUCUUUUCCUUUUUAAAAUUAUUUGUAGUUUUUCAUUUUGAAAUAUGUGAUAUCGCUUGGUUGUUAGAUGAUUUGAUUUUUUUCAAAGAAGAGAAAGAGGCAUGAUUACAAGGGUGAACAAUCACAUACAACUAUAAUGGGGCUGAAAAGGGAAGACAGAUUAGCAGUUUGGAGUGUGAUUGACAAAGACUGAGCAUCCUAUGGGGCCUCUUCCCCAAAGCGGAUAGCCUCCAAACACAAAAGAGAAGGAUGUAUUUCCCCAGGUGUCCAUAUCAAUAACCAGGGAAACACAGGUGGGAUCACCUGACAUAGCACAGACAAACCAUUCUUGAAGGAGACUGUCUAGUCCCAUCUCGAACCUGCCACCCUGACAUCUUGCCUAGAGAAAAAGCAUCAGACUAGGAAACUUGGGAGCUUGAAAUGAUGCUGCAAAUUCAGAGGUACUGCUCAACUGUAGCUAAAGAGAAGGUCUUGGAUGAGACAGCCUGGGCCUUAUUGCCUGUCUUUCAAGGGGAGCCGCUCCCGAUUAGAUUUUGCCAAAGCCUGAUAUCCAUCUAGCACUUUCAGAAGACAAUCAAGGUAAUGGACAAAGGAAAGCGUUUGGCCAGGGCUGAAAUCUGAGUCAUUUCCCUAGAGUGUAGGAAAGAUCCUUGAGUUUUUAACCCUUUUCAGGAAAGUCUCUGCACACCAUACACUUCAUUCGUUCCAUCUGGGAGUUUGUCCAAAUCGUGAAGCCUUUAAAUAUGUUCCUCUUGAUCUUUCCCAAACCUAUGGGGAGACAGACAAGUGCUUUUCUAUUUCAGCUAGAUAUGGUAGGGCAGGUAACAAGGAGACUUCAAGAGUUUCCCUUUCAGACCUUAACUAAGAACUCUGAGGAGUGUGGACUAAGAAAGUUACUUUUCUAUGCUCAGUUUU
This 2601-nucleotide long non-coding RNA is filed under the name Anolis carolinensis (green anole). RNAcentral describes it as "lncRNA (ENSACAG00000042729.1)". The record is from RNAcentral. Lineage: Eukaryota; Metazoa; Chordata; Lepidosauria; Squamata; Anolidae.